This 68-nucleotide ribosomal RNA is filed under the name uncultured bacterium. RNAcentral's name for it is "partial 16S ribosomal RNA". The record is from RNAcentral.
AGAGUCGGAGGACCUGAAGCCAGUUGCCUGAGGAGGCGCUGUUUAGGGUUAAACCGAUGAUUAGGGCU